RNAcentral lists this ribosomal RNA (489 nucleotides) under uncultured bacterium. RNAcentral describes it as "partial 16S ribosomal RNA". It matches the Rfam family "Bacterial small subunit ribosomal RNA", at positions 28 to 507 of the family's 1533-position model. The record is from RNAcentral.
GACGAACGCUGGCGGCGUGCUUAACACAUGCAAGUCGAACGAAGAGCGAUGGAAGCUUGCUUCUAUCAAUCUUAGUGGCGAACGGGUGAGUAACGCGUAAUCAACCUGCCCUUCAGAGGGGGACAACAGUUGGAAACGACUGCUAAUACCGCAUACGAUCCGACCUCGGCAUCGAGGAGGGAUGAAAGGUGGCCUCUAUUUAUAAGCUAUCACUGAAGGAUGGGAUUGCGUCUGAUUAGCUAGUUGGAGGGGUAGCGGCCCACCAAGGCUAUGAUCGGUAGCCGGCGUGAGAGGGUGAACGGCCACAUUGGGACUGAGAUACGGCCCAGACUGCGACGGGAGGCAGCAGUGGGGAAUAUGGCACAAUGGGCGGAAGCAUGAUGCAGCAACGCUGCGUGCGGGAUGACGGCGUUCGGGUUGUAAACCGCUAUCGCCUGUGACGAAGCGUGAGUGACGGUAAUGGGUAAAGAAGCACAGGCUAACUACGUG